Molecule: ribosomal RNA, 245 nt
Filed under: uncultured bacterium
Lineage: Bacteria
Description: partial small subunit ribosomal RNA
Rfam family: Bacterial small subunit ribosomal RNA
Source: RNAcentral
AGAAUCAACGCUGGCGGCGUGCCUAACACAUGCAAGUCGAACGAGAAAGUGGUAGCAAUACCAUGAGUAAAGUGGCGCACGGGUGAGUAACACGUGACUAACCUACCCUGGAGUGGGGGGUAACUGAGGGAACCUUAGCUAAUACCGCAUAACGCCUACGGGUCAAAGGAGCAAUUCGCUUCAGGAGGGGGUCGCGGCAGAUUAGCUAGUUGGCGGGUAAUGGCCCACCAAGGCAGUGAUCUGUA